UGAGGAAUAUUGGUCAAUGGGUGCAAGCCUGAACCAGCCAUCCCGCGUGAAGGACGACUGCCCUAUGGGUUGUAAACUUCUUUUGUAUAGGGAUAAACCUACCCUCGUGAGGGUAGCUGACGGUACUAUACGAAUAAGCACCGGCUAACUCCGUGCCAGCAGCCGCGGUAAUACGGAGGGUGCAAGCGUUAUCCGGAUUUAUUGGGUUUAAAGGGUCCGUAGGAGGACUUAUAAGUCAGUGGUGAAAGCCUGUCGCUUAACGAUAGAACUGCCAUUGAUACUGUAAGUCUUGAGUAUAUUUGAGGUAGCUGGAAUAAGUAGUGUAGCGGUGAAAUGCAUAGAUAUUACUUAGAACACCAAUUGCGAAGGCAGGUUACCAAGAUAUAACGGACGCUG
RNAcentral lists this ribosomal RNA (396 nucleotides) under uncultured bacterium. RNAcentral describes it as "bacterial SSU rRNA". It matches the Rfam family "Bacterial small subunit ribosomal RNA", at positions 355 to 748 of the family's 1533-position model. The record is from RNAcentral.